RNAcentral lists this ribosomal RNA (489 nucleotides) under uncultured bacterium. RNAcentral's name for it is "partial 16S ribosomal RNA". It matches the Rfam family "Bacterial small subunit ribosomal RNA", at positions 30 to 507 of the family's 1533-position model. The record is from RNAcentral.
AUUGAACGCUGGCGGCAGGCCUAACACAUGCAAGUCGAACGGUAACAGGAAACCGCUUGCUGUUUCGCUGACGAGUGGCGGACGGGUGAGUAAUGUCUGGGAAACUGCCUGAUGGAGGGGGAUAACUACUGGAAACGGUAGCUAAUACCGCAUACGUCGCAAGACCAAAGAGGGGGACCUUCGGGCCUCUUGCCAUCGGAUGUGCCCAGAUGGGAUUAGCUAGUAGGUGGGGUAACGGCUCACCUAGGCGACGAUCCCUAGCUGGUCUGAGAGGAUGACCAGCCACACUGGAACUGAGACACGGUCCAGACUCCUACGGGAGGCAGCAGUGGGGAAUAUUGCACAAUGGGCGCAAGCCUGAUGCAGCCAUGCCGCGUGUAUGAAGAAGGCCUUCGGGUUGUAAAGUACUUUCAGCGGGGAGGAAGGGAGUAAAGUUAAUACCUUUACUCAUUGGCGUUACCCGCAGAAGAAGCACCGGCUAACUCCGUG